GAUGAACGCUAGCUACAGGCUUAACACAUGCAAGUCGCGGGGCAGCAUGGGGGUUGCUUGCAACUCCCGAUGGCGACCGGCGCACGGGUGAGUAACGCGUAUCCAACCUGCCCUUCACCACGGGAUAACCCGGCGAAAGUCGGACUAAUACCGUAUGUUGUCCAUUGACGGCAUCCGAUUUGGACGAAAGGCUUUGCGGUGAAGGAUGGGGAUGCGUCCGAUUAGCCAGACGGCGGGGUAACGGCCCACCGUGGCUACGAUCGGUAGGGGUUCUGGGAGGAAGGUCCCCCACACUGGAACUGAGACACGGUCCAGACUCCUACGGGAGGCAGCAGUGAGGAAUAUUGGUCAAUGGGCGUAAGCCUGAACCAGCCAAGUAGCGUGCAGGAGGACGGCCCUAUGGGUUGUAAACUGCUUUUAUGCGGGGAUAAAGUGGCCCACGGGUGGGCUUUUGCAGGUACCGCAUGAAUAAGGACCGGCUAAUUCCGUG
This 490-nucleotide ribosomal RNA is filed under the name uncultured bacterium. Its description in RNAcentral is "partial 16S ribosomal RNA". It matches the Rfam family "Bacterial small subunit ribosomal RNA", at positions 28 to 507 of the family's 1533-position model. The record is from RNAcentral.